GCUUGUUUCGGCAUCACAUAUACUAAAAUUGGAACGAUACAGAGAAAAUUAGCAUGGCCCCUGUGCAAAGAUGACACGCAAAUUCGUAAAGCGUUCCAUAUUAUA
Molecule: small nuclear RNA, 105 nt
Filed under: Pelobates cultripes (western spadefoot toad)
Lineage: Eukaryota; Metazoa; Chordata; Amphibia; Anura; Pelobatidae
Source: RNAcentral